ACCAUGUUUAAGAAUUAGCCACCUACCUAGGCUGUGGUCGAGAAAUUAAAAUCUUCCACAACCCAGUUCUCAUGCAUGCUUUUACGUGAAUGAAUAGAUUGGGAAGUUACCUAGGGUGUCCUUUAUUCAGUGUUUUUCUCUCUUUUUUUUCUUUCAUGAAAAGUUGUUACAAAAUUGAGAGUACAUGGAAAAGGGUCAUUGGUACUAGUUAGUGGAAUAUUUCAUGCCUCUUUCACCCAUUCUCUCAGUUGAGUUGAAAACUUUCUCCUUUUCAUUUUUCCUAUAAAUAGGUGUUAUUGGCCACUGAGAAACCCAACUCUUCCAAGUUCCAACUCAACUCACUCUUUCUUUCUCUCUCUCUCUCUCUCUCUCUCUCUCCAUAUAUAUAUUUUACUUUUUAUCUAUUCUUAUCUCUUUCUUUUCUUCUCUAUACAUACAACACUAUAAUUCACCAUUUUUUUGUAUGUGAUUUUCUUUUUCUUUCUGAUGAACUGUAGGUUUGAGAGGAAAGGAUCUUUGGGGAAAGAGAAAGAGAGGAAGUAGUUGGCAAGGUUGUUGACAGAAGAUAGAGAGCACAGAUGAUGAUAUGCAGAAACAUAUGGAACAGGAAAGCAAUUGCGUCUCACUCCUUUGUGCUCUCUAGGCUUCUGUCAUCCACCUUCACUAUCCUCCAUUUCUCACCACUCUUCCAUUACUACAAAGGUAGAUACGCACCAGUUUUGGCAAGUGAAGAUCAUAAAUCUGUCUGUUCAUGGUACGAAAAAGCUAUUACAGUGACCAGCUGAAGAAGGAGUUAGCUUGAGCAAGUACUGUAAUUCCUUUCCGAAUACCUCUUUUUUUGAAUUCGUAAAUAAGCAUAAUAUAAUGUCUCCAAUCAAAGCUUAGAUAUAUAGAUAUAGAUAUUUCUCCAUAUCUAAAAGAGUGAUAAAUAUAAACACUUCUUAUGUCGAACACUUUAUAUUGUUACUAAUAUCUUUUCAUCAUAUACAUCAUCUGGUAUACUUAGAUUUGUCUCUUCUUUUUUUUAUUCUUUUCCUCUAGUUCUCUAUGUUAAGUAGCAUUUUAUAUCCACCAUUUUUCUCUAUCUAAAGCAUCAAACAUUUCUUUGGAGGUGGAAGUACUUAUUAGACCAUGAUCAAGUAAUAUAUUCUCGUUUUUUUUUCUCUUUUCAUGAAAACAAUCACUGUGAUGAGAUGAUUCUCUAGGAAGGACCAACUACUGCCACUUGAUUUGUGGAAGGACCAAAAAGAAAAUGAGAAUUUUCUGCAUUGGAAGACUGUGAAAGCAAAUGAAACCAGUUAAACAAAGCAACCAUAAUGUACGGAUCCAAAAUGGCCAUCACAUAUUGUAGGGCAUAUACUUUGCAGAAUUUUCCAAGUCAGUACCCCACAACUAAUUGUUCACUGAUUCGCUAAGGUGGCCUCUGUAUCAGUCAAUGGACCUAUAUGAUUUACAAUGGGAUCAAGCUUCUCAUUACCAGAAGCACCAUUGGUUAUAAACAGUACAAUAUUCACCAUCAAAACAAGUUAUUCUUAAUAAUUAUAUAUGUAUGUAUACCUAGUUUUUAUUUCAUCAUAUUUCCAUCCCUUUCUCUUUAA
Long non-coding RNA from Vigna radiata var. radiata (mung bean), 1598 nucleotides. RefSeq lists it as uncharacterized. Lineage: Eukaryota; Viridiplantae; Streptophyta; Magnoliopsida; Fabales; Fabaceae. The transcript is spliced from 2 exons. The record is from RefSeq and is a predicted model, not a curated record.